UGCAAGUCGAGCGGGGAAGGGUAGCUUGCUACCUGACCUAGCGGCGGACGGGUGAGUAAUGCUUAGGAAUCUGCCUAUUAGUGGGGGACAACAUUCCGAAAGGAAUGCUAAUACCGCAUACGCCCUACGGGGGAAAGCAGGGGAUCUUCGGACCUUGCGCUAAUAGAUGAGCCUAAGUCAGAUUAGCUAGUUGGUGGGGUAAAGGCCUACCAAGGCGACGAUCUGUAGCGGGUCUGAGAGGAUGAUCCGCCACACUGGGACUGAGACACGGCCCAGACUCCUACGGGAGGCAGCAGUGGGGAAUAUUGGACAAUGGGCGAAAGCCUGAUCCAGCCAUGCCGCGUGUGUGAAGAAGGCCUUUUGGUUGUAAAGCACUUUAAGCGAGGAGGAGGCUACUUGGAUUAAUACUCUAGGAUAGUGGACGUUACUCGCAGAAUAAGCACCGGCUAACUCUGUGCCAGCAGCCGCGGUAAUACAGAGGGUGCGAGCGUUAAUCGGAUUUACUGGGCGUAAAGCGUGCGUAGGCGGCUUCUUAAGUCGGAUGUGAAAUCCCUGAGCUUAACUUAGGAAUUGCAUUCGAUACUGGGAAGCUAGAGUAUGGGAGAGGAUGGUAGAAUUCCAGGUGUAGCGGUGAAAUGCGUAGAGAUCUGGAGGAAUACCGAUGGCGAAGGCAGCCAUCUGGCCUAAUACUGACGCUGAGGUACGAAAGCAUGGGGAGCACACAGGAUUAGAUACCCUGGUAGUCCAUGCCGUAAACGAUGUCUACUAGCCGUUGGGGCCUUUGAGGCUUUAGUGGCGCAGCUAACGCGAUAAGUAGACCGCCUGGGGAGUACGGUCGCAAGACUAAAACUCAUAUGAAUUGACUGGG
Molecule: ribosomal RNA, 868 nt
Filed under: uncultured bacterium
Lineage: Bacteria
Description: bacterial SSU rRNA
Rfam family: Bacterial small subunit ribosomal RNA
Source: RNAcentral